RNAcentral lists this ribosomal RNA (486 nucleotides) under uncultured bacterium. RNAcentral describes it as "partial 16S ribosomal RNA". It matches the Rfam family "Bacterial small subunit ribosomal RNA", at positions 28 to 507 of the family's 1533-position model. The record is from RNAcentral.
GAUGAACGCUGGCGGCGUGCCUAAUACAUGCAGGUCGAACGCUGGAAAUCUAGCUUGCUCGAUUGAAGGAGUGGCGAACGGGUGAGUAAUACAUAAGCAACCUACCCACGAAGACUGGGAUAAUCUCUGGAAACGGGGACUAAUACCGGAUAGGUAAUCGGAAGGCAUCUUCUGAUUAUUAAAGGUUAAAAACACUGGUGGAUGGGCUUAUGGCGCAUUAGUUAGUUGGUGAGGUAACGGCCCACCAAGACGAUGAUGCGUAGCCGGCCUGAGAGGGUGAACGGCCACAUGGGGACUGGGACACGGCCCAGACUCCUACGGGAGGCAGCAGUAGGGAAUUGUAGGAAAUGGGAGAAACCCUGACCGGGCAACGCCGCGUGAGUGAUGACGGCCUUCGGGUUGUAAAGCUCUGUUGUAAGGGAAGAACGGUAGAUAGAGAAUAUCUAAAUGACGGUACCUUAACAGAAAGCCACGGCUAACUACGUG